RNAcentral lists this ribosomal RNA (447 nucleotides) under Capitites ramulosa. RNAcentral's name for it is "partial large subunit ribosomal RNA". Lineage: Eukaryota; Metazoa; Arthropoda; Insecta; Diptera; Tephritidae. The record is from RNAcentral.
AAUGAAAUAGUUUAAUGGCCGCAGUAAUUUGACUGUGCAAAGGUAGCAUAAUAAUUAGUCUUUUAAUUGAAGGCUUGUAUGAAUGGUUGGACGAAGUAUAAUCUGUUUCAUUUAAAUUUAUUAUAGAAUUUUAUAUUUUAGUAAAAAAGCUAAAAUUUUUUUAAAAGACGAGAAGACCCUAUAAAUCUUUAUAAUUUACAUUAUUUUUAUUUUUUGGAUUUAAUUUAUUUUAAUAAUUUAAAUUAUUUUAUUGGGGUGAUAUUAAAAUUUAAUUAACUUUUAAUUUAUUUUAACAUUAAUUUAUGAUUUAUUGAUCCAUUAAUAAUGAUUAUAAGAAUAAGUUACUUUAGGGAUAACAGCGUAAUUUUUUUAGAGAGUUCUUAUUGAUAAAAAAGUUUGCGACCUCGAUGUUGGAUUAAGAUAUAAUUUUAGGUGUAGUUGCUUAAG